Molecule: non-coding RNA, 27 nt
Filed under: Rattus norvegicus (Norway rat)
Lineage: Eukaryota; Metazoa; Chordata; Mammalia; Rodentia; Muridae
Source: RNAcentral
UGUUAGUCACAUGAUACUCUUCUCCAA